UACGUAGGGCGCAAGCGUUGUCCGGAAUUAUUGGGCGUAAAGAGCUCGUAGGCGGUCUGUUACGUCUGCUGUGAAAACCCAGGGCUUAACCCUGGGCUUGCAGUGGAUACGGGCAGACUAGAGGCAGGUAGGGGAGAAUGGAAUUCCCGGUGUAGCGGUGAAAUGCGCAGAUAUCGGGAGGAACACCGGUGGCGAAGGCGGUUCUCUGGGCCUGACCUGACGCUGAGACGCGAAAGCGUGGGGAGCAAACAGG
RNAcentral lists this ribosomal RNA (253 nucleotides) under uncultured bacterium. RNAcentral describes it as "partial 16S ribosomal RNA". It matches the Rfam family "Bacterial small subunit ribosomal RNA", at positions 524 to 776 of the family's 1533-position model. The record is from RNAcentral.